RNAcentral lists this ribosomal RNA (901 nucleotides) under uncultured Bacillota bacterium. RNAcentral describes it as "bacterial SSU rRNA". It matches the Rfam family "Bacterial small subunit ribosomal RNA", at positions 58 to 935 of the family's 1533-position model. Lineage: Bacteria; Bacillati; Bacillota. The record is from RNAcentral.
CAAGUCGAACGCGAAAGUUCCCUUCGGGGAGCGAGUAGAGUGGCGCACGGGUGAGUAACACGUAGGUAAUCUACCUUUGGAUUGGGAAUAACAACCGGAAACGGUUGCUAAUACCGAAUAAUGCAGCGGCACCUAAUGGUGACAGUUGUUAAAGCGGGGGAUCGCAAGACCUCGCGUCUAAAGAGGAGCCUGCGGCGGAUUAGCUAGUUGGUAAGGUAAUGGCUUACCAAGGCUAUGAUCCGUAGCCGGCCUGAGAGGGCGGUCGGCCACACUGACACUGACAUACGGGUCAGACUCCUACGGGAGGCAGCAGUCGGGAAUUUUGGGCAAUGGGCGAAAGCCUGACCCAGCAACGCCGCGUGAAGGAUGAAAUCCUUCGGGAUGUAAACUUCGCAAGAACGGGAAGAAUAAGUAAGAGCUAACAUCUCUUAUGAUGACGGUACUGUUUGUAAGCUCCGGCUAACUCCGUGCCAGCAGCCGCGGUAAUACGGGGGGAGCAAGCGUUGUUCGGAUUUACUGGGCGUAAAGGGCGCGUAGGCGGCCACCGCAAGUCGAUUGUGAAAUCUCCGGGCUUAACCCGGAAAGGUCAACCGAUACUGCGGGGCUAGAGUGCAGAAGGGGCAACUGGAAUUCUCGGUGUAGCGGUGAAAUGCGUAGAUAUCGAGAGGAACACCUGCGGCGAAGGCGGGUUGCUGGGCUGACACUGACGCUGAAGUGCGAAAGCUAGGGGAGCGAACGGGAUUAGAUACCCCGGUAGUCCUAGCCUUAAACGAUGAAUGCUUGGUGUCUGGGGUUUUAUAGUCCCCGGGUGCCGUCGCUAACGCUUUAAGCAUUCCGCCUGGGGAGUACGGUCGCAAGACUGAAACUCAAAGGAAUUGACGGGGACCCGCACAAGCGGUGG